GUGGCAUUAGCUCAGAUGGAUAGAGCAACGGCCUUCUAAGCCGUAGGUCGCAGGUUCGAAUCCUGUAUGCCGCGCCA
Molecule: transfer RNA, 77 nt
Filed under: Enterobacter asburiae
Lineage: Bacteria; Pseudomonadati; Pseudomonadota; Gammaproteobacteria; Enterobacterales; Enterobacteriaceae
Also listed under: 1 other name
Description: tRNA-Arg
Rfam family: tRNA
About the family: Transfer RNA (tRNA) molecules are approximately 80 nucleotides in length.
Source: RNAcentral